CCGUCUAUAGUUCAGUUAGAAGAACGUUCGACUGUAAUGGUUAAGCAUAUAUCGAAAGGUCGCUGGUGCAAGUCCAGCUAGACGGA
Molecule: transfer RNA, 86 nt
Filed under: Aureococcus anophagefferens virus
Lineage: Varidnaviria; Bamfordvirae; Nucleocytoviricota; Megaviricetes; Imitervirales; Schizomimiviridae
Rfam family: tRNA
About the family: Transfer RNA (tRNA) molecules are approximately 80 nucleotides in length. Their secondary structure includes four short double-helical elements and three loops (D, anti-codon, and T loops).
Source: Rfam by way of RNAcentral